Molecule: long non-coding RNA, 1068 nt
Filed under: Homo sapiens (human)
Lineage: Eukaryota; Metazoa; Chordata; Mammalia; Primates; Hominidae
Description: HSALNT0335599
Source: RNAcentral
UAAAAAAAAGAGAGAAAAAGAAAGAAAAAAAGGAAAAAGAAAUAGAAAAGAAAAAAACAGCUAUGAACUAUGAGCUUCCAGAUCUGAAUUUUCUGAGUGGAAACCAUUCACUCUUCUAAGACAGACAACAAAGAUUAUUACUUCUUCUAGAUUAGCUAUGAAAUCUAUCCCAAUCAGUAUCUGAUUAAAAUUGAUAUUUAUGUGCAACAUGCUGCACAGCCAUUUGCUAAGCUUAUUGGCAUUUCUGACACUUCCAGGGAAUCCAAUUCCAUGCUUCACUAAUACUGGUAAAGCACUGAAAAUAUCUCCUCCAGCCAAAGUCCAGGUUUACCCCAACAGACAAACACAGAUGCUGCUCCUUGUGCCCACCCUGGCCACAGCCCCACACUCCAGGCUGCACAGCUGGCUGCCAGUGACAGUAUGGGAUCCCCAAAACCCAUGACUGCACUCCGCCCCCUAACUUAGAAACAGACACUCAUUGUUCUGAGACCAAAACCAAGAGGUGGCUUAGAUUUGCCCCAUGGUAGUUCAUGUGGGAGUGGAGAGAAUAGAGUGCAAUGACAAAUCUGUAUGACACUUAACACUGCAAACUUUCCUUUGUUCAUCAGGAGACCCAACCUCUCUACUGGAUGUUUUACAAAUAUAGCAUUGACUGGCGUUUAAGACUGUUGCUGUAAGUUUAUGUUGGGAGUAACAACGAUCAAAGCAGAAGAUAAUUUUUACUUUUCUAUACCAUCUAUGCAUGGAAGUCUAUCUACAUGGCCCAUACAGGCUUAUCAUAUGACCUUGUAACUGCUUUCAUGUUGACUUCUCCAGGACUCAAAGAACAGUCAAGGGCAAUGCUAAGCAACACCAGCCAUCACCAUCCGGCUCUCCACUCCGACCUUCAGUAACCACUCACUUACCCAACAGAUAUACACUGAGCACCUACUAUGUACAGGUUCAAGCCAACAGCCAUGUGGGUGAGACCUCCUGGAGGCAGAUUGUCCAGGCUCAAUCAAAGCACAGAAGACUGCAGCCCUAGCCAAUGUCUUAGACUGCAACCUCACAAGGGACCUUGAGCCAGAA